UACAGAGGGUGCAAGCGUUAAUCGGAGUUACUGGGCGUAAAGGGCACGUAGGCGGUUAUGUAAGUCAGUUGUGAAAUCCCCGGGCUUAACCUGGGAACUGCAAUUGAUACUGUGUGACUAGAGUCGAAGAGAGGGAAGCGGAAUUUCCGGUGUAGCGGUGAAAUGCGUAGAUAUCGGAAGGAACAUCUGUGGCGAAGGCGGCUUCCUGGCUUCAGACUGACGCUGAGGUGCGAAAGCGUGGGUAGCGAACAGG
RNAcentral lists this ribosomal RNA (253 nucleotides) under uncultured bacterium. RNAcentral describes it as "partial 16S ribosomal RNA". It matches the Rfam family "Bacterial small subunit ribosomal RNA", at positions 524 to 776 of the family's 1533-position model. The record is from RNAcentral. RNAcentral also lists the same sequence under 1 other name.